Molecule: long non-coding RNA, 1190 nt
Organism: Quercus robur (English oak)
Lineage: Eukaryota; Viridiplantae; Streptophyta; Magnoliopsida; Fagales; Fagaceae
Exons: 2
Source: RefSeq, a predicted model, not a curated record
UAAAAGAGUCAAUGAUAUUGUUAAAGAGAUAAAAUUGAAAUUUUAUAAAAUAAAAUUGCUAAAAUUAGUACCCACAUAUAUAAUAAUAUAUUUUUAAAAAAAAUUGAGGGGCACAUUGCCCCCUAUGUCCAAGUUUUCUUUUUGAGUCAAUGGAGCCACAUCCUGUUGUUUGUAGAAUUGUAAGUGUGCUUCAAGAUAUAUACUUUUUUUUUUAUUAAUAAAAUUGAAUUUAUUAAAAAAAUAUGAAAAAUAAUUCUAAUACAAGGAUAAAAUGUAUGAAAAAAAAAAAGCGAAAGGAAGGGAAAAAAAAGUAAAGAGAGGAAAAAAAAGAAAGAAAAUGCAUUGAAUUAACAUGAUUUGGUCUUAAGUUGCCUAAGUCCAUAGAAAAAAUGACUUGAUUGAAGGCUACGUAUUAUUGAAAGUAAAGUAGAAUUUAUGAGUCUCCAUAAUCAUAUUUUAAAAGGCAAUACUACAUUGAUUUUAAAAGGUAUAGUGUAGUUGGAGCUCAACCAACAAUGGAAAUUGUUGCAAAAAAAAAUAAGGUAACGAUAAUGGACCAUGAGGGAGUUUGACUAAAGAGUUGAUUGAAGAUCCAAAGGUGAUUACUAGAAGAAUCUCAAAGGGUUGGAAACCUCAACUUAUUGAUGAACUCCCAGGCACAUUUUGUGGUACUUGGAGCCUUUUGGUAUUUGUUCUCCAUAGAAAGGGAAUCCACAUGCUAGCAACAAGCCUGUAGGGGGUGAUAAAACAUGCACCCUUAAUUCUACGUUUUGUGAUAAUAGUUCUGCCAUGGACAAUUUUCUGAAUAAUUCUUGCCCAGUACAAACACCAAAUACAACGCUCUUUGAUUUUGGAAUAUUCCUUGAUGCUCUUCAAUCUGGUGUAGUGGAGUCAACUGAUUUUCCACAGAAGUUAUUUUACUAUUCUUGGUGGGGACUACAAAAUCUGAUAUAUGCUAAUAUAGGAUAUUUUUCUUUUAUGCUGAACUAGUUGGCAACAAUAGUGUCACUUAGUGUGUGUAUUGCAUUGAAUUUCUAGUUUUGCCGCAUUUUUUGGAAGUGUUGAAGGAUAUUUUUAAACACUUUGGAACUUUGAUUGUGGUAUUAACUUGAAACUUUGAUGAUGGUUAUAGACAAUAUUAUGUAUUCGAUAAUAUAUUUCUAUGUUAAUAUAAUGUUAUUUUGGAGACA